Long non-coding RNA from Anguilla rostrata (American eel), 1978 nucleotides. RefSeq lists it as uncharacterized. The transcript has 2 exons. The record is from RefSeq and is a predicted model, not a curated record. NCBI's taxonomy places the organism in Eukaryota, Metazoa, Chordata, Actinopteri, Anguilliformes, Anguillidae.
AUAAUGCUGAAUGAUCUGCUAAUUUGUGACCAACUGUCAGCUGAACGCCCAUUAAAAUGUAAAAACAAGCAAGAAGUAUUAUGAGAAUUUUUAUCUGUAAGAGAAGCCAUUGAUUUCAUGCCAAUACUUUUCAAGGUCGUUUUUAAUUGAAAUUCUUUGUAAAUAAAUGUAUUCCUGAUUAUUUAUUUAUUCGCAAGUCACAGUUAAACUAUCAGCCUUCAUUUUAUUCUCAACCCAGUACUUUACACUUUUUUUCUAAGUAUCAAAAUAUAGAAGAAAAAAACUAUAAAAUGUGGCACUUUGCCAUCAGAUAUCUGCCGCUCGUUAAUGUUUCCUUUUAUCAACAAAUCAGCAUCAAAGCAACACCAAAUUCAGUGAUCAGAAAAUCAGAACUAUCCUUUUAAAGAAAGUGUAUUAAUAUUCACACUAUUUGGUUAAUACUGGACAGAAAAGAACAGAAAGCAUUUUAAAACUUAAAUCUCACAGCAGCUGUAUACAGACCAGGAGAAAGAAAACUCCUGUAUCAGUCAUCGAUUCAAUCUAUACCCUCCAGGACCACGGGCGAGCAGUCUUAGUGCAGGCCCUCCAGGAGGUGGGUUGAGAGCUCAAGGAUAGUGAUCUCACAACCACAAGCCACCAUUCUGUUCCAUGACGCACUUUGAUAGACUGGCUUUUCAGGUUUAUAGUUACAGGGUGUGUGCUUUACAGUAAACAGUAUGAGUGAGAAUUAAAUGAGGGGAAUAGGAAUCCCAGAUUUAAGAGUUGUUUUCAGACAGGUGCGAGAGAGCCUGCAAAUGAGGCCGAAAGAUUUUUUGCGGCGAACGAGCUGCUGUUCUGUGUGUUUUGACAUCUUCAAGGACCCUCUUGUCCUGGCAUGCAGCCACAGCUUCUGUAGCAUUUGUGCGCAGGAAUUAUGGGGAAAGAAGAGCUCUCAGGAGUGUCCUCUCUGCAAGAGAAAGUCCUCUCUUUUAAAUCCUCCUGUCUUCAUGCUUUUAAAUAACACAGUGGAGUCCUGCCUGAAGCGGAAGAUUGAGAGUGGAUCUGAAAAGAAGAAUGGAAAACGUUGCUGUCCUCAUGAAGAUAAACUCCUGUUUUUCAAGCAGGAAGCCCAGGAGCCUCUCUGUCAUGUUUCAGACUUCAAAAAACACAGAAACUGCCAGGUCUGUCCAGCGGAGGAGACUGUUCUGGAAAUGAAGCCCACAGGGAGGCAGAUAAACGCCGCUGUUCAGACGUUCUAACAGUUCCUGUGAGAUGAAGAGGAGGCCAGACUAGCUGCAUGGAGGAAAAGAAGCAAAAGAACCAAAUAAUGUUGUGACCUGACUUUGCCAUAUAAGACAAAUCCACAAUUAUAGAAAGGACAUCUCCUUAAAUCAAGCUUAUUAGUGGACAUUUUCCAGUGCAAACAAAACAAAAAAUGAUAAAUCCCAUUUGUUACAGAACAGCGGAUUGUAGCAGUUCAUUUUGGGCUGUUAAUUUUUUUAUGUUAACUAGCUUUCUUUCUAGGUAUUGCCUUUGAAUGCACAGACAGUAUGUCCUCCAUUUUGGAAGUUACUCUUAAGAGAGAGAGAGAGACGCCAUUCUCUAUAUAUUUUGCAUUAUAAAAUGUUUUUUUUAUUAGCAGUGACAAUAUGUAUUUUCUGUGAAAAUGUUCUUUUUUUAAGGAUAAAAUGCUAAUCUUGUGUUGACACAUCUUACACAUUUUGUAAAUCCACAUGUCCAUCGGAUGUAACCCCUCGAGGGGCAAAAUAAGGUCAAAUGAAUUUCUAUAAGUGCUCAUAGUAAAUAAUCGAACUAAAUAUAAAGGCUAAGUUUGGCUAUUCUUGUAUGAAUACCUAAAACCUGUGGUGAUGAAAAUGAAUACAUUCAGAAAUGUAUGAAUUAUUGCCUAAAAUAUAAAAAUGUUGACAGCUGAUCUUGUAUGAAUGUAGUUUCUGAAUGCCAUUGACAUGACUGCAAAAUAAAAUUACAUUUAACUCCA